RNAcentral lists this long non-coding RNA (287 nucleotides) under Fukomys damarensis (Damara mole-rat). Its description in RNAcentral is "lncRNA (ENSFDAG00000029875.1)". The record is from RNAcentral. Lineage: Eukaryota; Metazoa; Chordata; Mammalia; Rodentia; Bathyergidae.
GACUUUUAUACCCUGGAGCACCUGGAUUGUUAAAAUAUGUGUAACGAUGAAAGCGUGACCCCUGCCAACCUGUCUGCAGACGGGCUGUGUCAGUGCCAGGACAGAGCUGAGAAGGGCCCCCUUGGCCUUCCUGCCCCGACAGAUGUGGAAGGGUGCCCAUGUCUACGAGGGCUUCCCAUGCGUAUGCACACCAGAGGCACUGCCUGUGAAGUCGCUUCCAACAGCCCCCUUGUCCGAAGCACCAAGGACCCGGAAAGGACCCAGGAUCUGCUUUGGUGGCCUCCCAC